GGUCAGGAUGAACGCUAGCGACAGGCCUAACACAUGCAAGUCGAGGGGCAGCACAAGGAGCAAUCUGAGGUGGCGACCGGCGCACGGGUGAGUAACACGUAUGCAACCUGCCUGUAAGCGGGGAAUAACCCGUUGAAAGAACGGACUAAUACCGCAUAAUACUAAAUUACUGCAUGGUAAUUUAUUUAAACAUUUAUGGCUUACAGAUGGGCAUGCGCAUGAUUAGCUAGUUGGAGAGGUAACGGCUCCCCAAGGCAACGAUCAUUAGGGGUUCUGAGAGGAAGGUCCCCCCACACUGGUACUGAGACACGGACCAGACUCCUACGGGAGGCAGCAGUGAGGAAUAUUGGUCAAUGGACGAGAGUCUGAACCAGCCAAGUCGCGUGCAGGAAGAAUUGUCCUAUGGAUUGUAAACUGCUUUUGCAGGGGAAUAAAGUGCAUCACGUGUGAUGUUUUGUAUGUACUCUGCGAAUAAGGAUCGGCUAACUCCGUGCCAGCCGCCGC
This 504-nucleotide ribosomal RNA is filed under the name uncultured bacterium. RNAcentral describes it as "bacterial SSU rRNA". It matches the Rfam family "Bacterial small subunit ribosomal RNA", at positions 22 to 518 of the family's 1533-position model. The record is from RNAcentral.